GGCCUGAGAGGGUGAUCCCCCACACUGGUAUUGAAACACGGCCCAGAUUCCUACGGGAGGCUGCAGUGAGGAAUAUUGGACAAUGGGUGAGAGCCUGAUCCAGCCUUCCCGCGUGAAGGACGACGGCCCUAUGGGUUGUAAACUUCUUUUGUAUAGGGAUAAACCUACCCUCGUGAGGGUAGCUGAAGGUACUAUACGAAUAAGCACCGGCUAACUCCGUGCCAGCAGCCGCGGUAAUACGGAGGGUGCAAGCGUUAUCCGGAUUUAUUGGGUUUAAAGGGUCCGUAGGCGGAUGUGUAAGUCAGUGGUGAAAUCUCACAGCUUAACUGUGAAACUGCCAUUGAUACUGCAUGU
Molecule: ribosomal RNA, 354 nt
Filed under: bacterium LimB-10-A-301
Lineage: Bacteria
Description: bacterial SSU rRNA
Rfam family: Bacterial small subunit ribosomal RNA
Source: RNAcentral